AUCGUAAUAAUAGAAACCAGAGAUUGAACCCCUACUAUGUGGUAGGCAGAGUACCAGGUGCUUUAUAUCUGAUGACUCACUGGGUGUGCUGUUACCCUUGUGAAUUAACAGGUACUCCAAGCUAGGCCCUUGGGUAAUGGUCCCCCUUGUCACAGGAUUCUCCCUCCAUCUGCAAGAAUUUGCUUUUGAGCCUGGGAUCUUUGGCCAGAUCUGAGGAUCUGUGUGAUCCUCGGGUUUCUAGGCAAGAGGACUUCUUAAGUGAAGCAGGAUAUGAUUUGAGUCUCCUCCCCUGAUAUUUAACAGGUGCCAGCAGCCACUCAGGACACCCAGUGGAACUCACCUUCACCAUCCCACCCCGUCGCUAUAACAAUCAUCCCUGGCUUCAAAUCCCAUUCUUUUUUUUUUUUUUUUUUUUUUUUUUAAGGCCACACAUUCUGCAUAUGGAAGUUUCCAGGCUAGGGGUUGAAUCAGAGCUGUGGCUGCUGGCCUGUGUCAUGGCCACAGCAAUGCCAGAUCUGAGCCACGUCUGCAGCCUACACCACAACUCACAGCAUGGGUUAACGAUCCGGCGUUGCCGUGAGCUGUGGUGUAGGUUGCAGACGCGGCUCAGAUCCCACGUUGCUGUGGCUCUGGCGUAGGCUGGUGGCUACAGCUCCAAUUCAACCCCUAGCCUGGAAACCUCCAUAUGUCGCGGGAGCGGCCCAAGAAGUGGCAAAAAGACAAAAAAAAAAAAAAAAAGAAAUUGAAUCANUAUGAAAAAAAUAUAUAUAUUCUUAUAUAUUUCUUUUUUCUUUUUCAUAUGGUUUAUAACAGGAUAUUGAAUAUAGCUAGUUCCCUGUGCUAUACAGAAGGAUCUCCUUUAUCUAUUUCUAUAUAGUAGUUUGUAAAUUUCUACACAAAUUUUAGAGUUGGAUGUUGAUUUCUGUGAAAGAAAAAAAAAAAAAAGCCAACUGCUUAAUUUUUUUUUUUUUUUUUUUUUUUUUUUUUUUUUGUCUUUUUAGGACCACACCCGAGGCAUAUGGAGGUUCCCAGGCUAGGGUCGAAUUGGAGCUGUCACUGCUGGCUUAUGCCACAGCCACUGCAAUGCUGGAUCCUUAAUCCCCUGAGCAAGGCCAGGGAUGGAACCUACAUCCUCAUGGAUGCUAGUCAGAUUUAUUUCUGCUGAGCCAUGAUGGGAACUCUGAAAAAUAGCUUAAUUUGAGGAGAAUUGAUAUCUCAACAAUAUUGAGUCUUUCAAUCCAUAAACAUUGUGUAUCUAUCCAUUUAAUGUUCAUUUAAUUAGGUCUUCUUAAAAUUUUUGUAGGAAUAUUUUAUAGUUUCCUGUAUAAAAUUUCUCACAUAUUUUGCUAAAUUUAUCCAAAAUUAAGUUUUUGUGUUAUUAUUAGUGAUACUUUUAUACUUUUAUUUCUAACAUUAUUGCUAAUAUAUAGAAAUAUAUUUGAUUUUGUAUAUUGACUUUUUAAUCAUGUGAUCUUACCAAAUUUAUUUAUUCUUGUUUUUUUCACCAUGCCUGCAGCAUGUGGAAGUUCCCAGGUCAGAGACUGAACCCAAGCCAUAGCAGUGACCCAAGCCACUGGGUUGACAACACAGGAUCUUAACCCACAGCACCACAGGGGAACUCCUAUUUAUUAGUUUUGAUAGCUUUUUGUGGGUACUUUAUGACUUCCAAAAUAGACAAUCGUUUUGUCUUUGAAUAAAGAUAAUUUCCUUUU
RNAcentral lists this long non-coding RNA (1712 nucleotides) under Sus scrofa (pig). RNAcentral describes it as "lncRNA (ENSSSCG00060076249.1)". Lineage: Eukaryota; Metazoa; Chordata; Mammalia; Artiodactyla; Suidae. The record is from RNAcentral.